GCUGGGUGAAGUGGCUCAUGCCUGUAAUCCUAGCACUCUCGGAAGCUGAGGCAGGAGGAUCACUUGAGCUCAGGAGUAUGAGGUUGCUGUGAGCUAUGAUGUCGCCAUAGCACUCUAGCCUGGGCAACAGAGUGAGACUCUGUCUCAA
Molecule: non-coding RNA, 148 nt
Filed under: Otolemur garnettii (small-eared galago)
Lineage: Eukaryota; Metazoa; Chordata; Mammalia; Primates; Galagidae
Source: Rfam by way of RNAcentral